This 148-nucleotide signal recognition particle RNA is filed under the name Nomascus leucogenys (northern white-cheeked gibbon). Its description in RNAcentral is "Metazoan signal recognition particle RNA". It matches the Rfam family "Metazoan signal recognition particle RNA". Rfam says of the family: The signal recognition particle (SRP) is a universally conserved ribonucleoprotein. It is involved in the co-translational targeting of proteins to membranes. Lineage: Eukaryota; Metazoa; Chordata; Mammalia; Primates; Hylobatidae. The record is from Rfam by way of RNAcentral.
GCUGGGCAUGGUGGUGCAUGCCUGUAGUCGCAGCUACUCCAGAGGCUGAGGCGGGAGGAUCACUUGAGCCCAGGAGUUCAAGGCUGCAGUGAGCUAUGAUUGUGCCACUGUGCUCUAGCCUGGGUGACAGAGUGAGACCCCAUCUCUA